GUCGAGCGAAUGGAUUAAGAGCUUGCUCUUAUGAAGUUAGCGGCGGACGGGUGAGUAACACGUGGGUAACCUGCCCAUAAGACUGGGAUAACUCCGGGAAACCGGGGCUAAUACCGGAUAACAUUUUGAACCGCAUGGUUCGAAAUUGAAAGGCGGCUUCGGCUGUCACUUAUGGAUGGACCCGCGUCGCAUUAGCUAGUUGGUGAGGUAACGGCUCACCAAGGCAACGAUGCGUAGCCGACCUGAGAGGGUGAUCGGCCACACUGGGACUGAGACACGGCCCAGACUCCUACGGGAGGCAGCAGUAGGGAAUCUUCCGCAAUGGACGAAAGUCUGACGGAGCAACGCCGCGUGAGUGAUGAAGGCUUUCGGGUCGUAAAACUCUGUUGUUAGGGAAGAACAAGUGCUAGUUGAAUAAGCUGGCACCUUGACGGUACCUAACCAGAAAGCCACGGCUAACUACGUGCCAGCAGCCGCGGUAAUACGUAGGUGGCAAGCGUUAUCCGGAAUUAUUGGGCGUAAAGCGCGCGCAGGUGGUUUCUUAAGUCUGAUGUGAAAGCCCACGGCUCAACCGUGGAGGGUCAUUGGAAACUGGGAGACUUGAGUGCAGA
Molecule: ribosomal RNA, 611 nt
Filed under: Bacillus cereus
Lineage: Bacteria; Bacillati; Bacillota; Bacilli; Caryophanales; Bacillaceae
Description: bacterial SSU rRNA
Rfam family: Bacterial small subunit ribosomal RNA
Source: RNAcentral